RNAcentral lists this ribosomal RNA (443 nucleotides) under uncultured bacterium. Its description in RNAcentral is "SSU rRNA". It matches the Rfam family "Bacterial small subunit ribosomal RNA", at positions 26 to 518 of the family's 1533-position model. The record is from RNAcentral.
AGAACGAACGCUGGCGGCAGGCCUAACACAUGCAAGUCGAACGCUCCGCAAGGAGAGUGGCAGACGGGUGAGUAACGCGUGGGAAUUUCCCCCAAGGUUCGGAAUAACUGAGGGAAACUUCAGCUAAUACCGAAUGGUACCGAGAGGUUAAAGAUUUAUCGCCUUGGGAUGAGCCCGCGUUGGAUUAGCUAGUUGGUGGGGUAACGGCCCACCAAGGCUUUGAUCCAUAGCUGGUCUGAGAGGACGACCAGCCACACUGGGACUGAGACACGGCCCAGACUCCUACGGGAGGCAGCAGUGGGGAAUCUUGGACAAUGGGCGCAAGCCUGAUCCAGCCAUGCCGCGUGGGCGAUGAAGGUCUUCGGAUUGUAAAGCCCUUUUGGCGGGACGAUAAUGACGGUACCCGCAGAAUAAGCUCCGGCUAACUUCGUGCCAGCAGCCGC